RNAcentral lists this ribosomal RNA (345 nucleotides) under uncultured bacterium. RNAcentral's name for it is "partial 16S ribosomal RNA". It matches the Rfam family "Bacterial small subunit ribosomal RNA", at positions 338 to 699 of the family's 1533-position model. The record is from RNAcentral.
CCUACGGGAGGCAGCAGUGGGGGAUAUUGCACAAUGGGGGGAACCCUGAUGCAGCGACGCCGCGUGGGUGAAGGAGCGUUUCGGCGCGUAAAGCCCUAUCGGCCGGGAAGAAGGAGGACGGUACCUGACUAAGAAGCCCCGGCUAACUACGUGCCAGCAGCCGCGGUAAUACGUAGGGGGCAAGCGUUAUCCGGAUUUACGGGGUGUAACGGGGGCGCAGACGGAAGCGCAAGCGAGGAGUGAAAGCCCGGGGCCCAACCCCGGGACUGCUCUUGGCACUGCGCGGUUGGAGUGCAGGUGGGGCAGGAGGAAUGCGUGGUGUAGCGGUGAAAUGCGUAGAUAUCA